This 253-nucleotide ribosomal RNA is filed under the name uncultured bacterium. Its description in RNAcentral is "partial 16S ribosomal RNA". It matches the Rfam family "Bacterial small subunit ribosomal RNA", at positions 524 to 776 of the family's 1533-position model. The record is from RNAcentral.
UACGAAGGGGGCAAGCGUUGUUCGGAAUUACUGGGCGUAAAGGGCGCGUAGGCGGCUUAUCAAGUCAGGCGUGAAAUUCCCGGGCUCAACCUGGGGGCUGCGCUUGAUACUGAUUGGCUUGAAUGCGGGAGAGGAUAGUGGAAUUCCCAGUGUAGAGGUGAAAUUCGUAGAUAUUAGGAAGAACACCAGUGGCGAAGGCGGCCUACUGGUCCGGCACUGACGCUGAGGUGCGAAAGCGUGGGGAGCAAACAGG